AACAGCUAAAAUUUACUUGAUUUUGACACUAUCCUACAUGGAUAACUGUGGUAAUUCUGGAGCUAAUACAUGCAUAAAAGCUGAAACUCACGUUUCAGUGCAUUUAUUAUAACAAAACCAAGCAUCUUCGGAUGUGUUUUGUUGACUCUGAAUAAACCUUGCUGAUCGCAUAGUCUUGUACUGGCGACAUGUCAUUCAAGUGUCUGACCUAUCAACUGUAUAUAUAAGUAUAUAGUACUUAUAUGGUUUUGACGGGUAACGGAGAAUUAGGGUUCGACUCCGGAGAAAAUGCCUGAGAAACGGCGUUUACAUCCAAGGAAGGCAGCAGGCGCGAAAAUUACCCACUCUCAGUACGAGGAGGUAGUGACGAGAAAUGACAAGAUCUAGUCCUUCGGGGCUGGAUCAUUGGAAUGGUUUGAUUUUAAAACCAUUAAAGAGUAUCAAUGAGAGGGCAAGUCUGGUGCCAGCAGCCGCGGUAAUUCCAGCUCUCAUACUGCAUUGAAUUGUUGUUGCGGUUAAAAAGCUCGUAGUUGGAUCUGUACACGAUAGGAUGGUUCACCCUUUGGGUUGUAACUAUUACUAAGUGUUUUUUAUCAGAUUUUAUGCGCGUUUACGCGUAUAUGUCUGAUGAGUUUACUUUG
This 641-nucleotide ribosomal RNA is filed under the name Panagrolaimus cf. papillosus LL1688. Its description in RNAcentral is "SSU rRNA". It matches the Rfam family "Eukaryotic small subunit ribosomal RNA", at positions 105 to 759 of the family's 1831-position model. Lineage: Eukaryota; Metazoa; Nematoda; Chromadorea; Rhabditida; Panagrolaimidae. The record is from RNAcentral.